Molecule: ribosomal RNA, 483 nt
Filed under: Staphylococcus hominis
Lineage: Bacteria; Bacillati; Bacillota; Bacilli; Caryophanales; Staphylococcaceae
Description: bacterial SSU rRNA
Rfam family: Bacterial small subunit ribosomal RNA
Source: RNAcentral
GAUGAACGCUGGCGGCGUGCUAAUACAUGCAAGUCGAGCGAACAGACGAGGAGCUUGCUCCUUUGACGUUAGCGGCGGACGGGUGAGUAACACGUAGGUAACCUACCUAUAAGACUGGGAUAACUUCGGGAAACCGGAGCUAAUACCGGAUAAUAUUUCGAACCGCAUGGUUCGAUAGUGAAAGAUGGCUUUGCUAUCACUUAUAGAUGGACCUGCGCCGUAUUAGCUAGUUGGUAAGGUAACGGCUUACCAAGGCAACGAUACGUAGCCGACCUGAGAGGGUGAUCGGCCACACUGGAACUGAGACACGGUCCAGACUCCUACGGGAGGCAGCAGUAGGGAAUCUUCCGCAAUGGGCGAAAGCCUGACGGAGCAACGCCGCGUGAGUGAUGAAGGUCUUCGGAUCGUAAAACUCUGUUAUUAGGGAAGAACAAACGUGUAAGUAACUGUGCACGUCUGACGGUACCUAAUCAGAAAGCCACG